UAGCUAGUUGGUGGGGUAAUGGCCUACCAAGGCGACGAUCAGUAGCCGGCCUGAGAGGGUGAACGGCCACACUGGAACUGAGACACGGUCCAGACUCCUACGGGAGGCAGCAGUCGGGAAUUUUGGGCAAUGGGCGAAAGCCUGACCCAGCAACGCCGCGUGAGGGAUGAAGGCCUUCGGGUCGUAAACCUCUUUUCUCAGGGAAGAUAAUGACGGUACCUGAGGAAGAAGCACCGGCUAACUACGUGCCAGCAGCCGCGGUAAUACGUAGGGUGCAAGCGUUGUCCGGAAUUAUUGGGCGUAAAGAGCUCGUAGGCGGUUUGUCGCGUCUGCUGUGAAAACUCGGGGCUUAACCCCGGGCCUGCAGUGGGUACGGGCAGACUAGAGUGCGGUAGGGGAGACUGGAAUUCCUGGUGUAGCGGUGAAAUGCGCAGAUAUCAGGAGGAACACCGGUGGCGAAGGCGGGUCUCUGGGCCGUAACUGACGCUGAGGAGCGAAAGCGUGGGGAGCGAACAGGAUUAGAUACCCUGGUAGUCCACGCCGUAAACGUUGGGCGCUAGGUGUGGGGCUCUUUCCACGAGUUCCGUGCCGCAGCUAACGCAUUAAGCGCCCCGCCUGGGGAGUACGGCCGCAAGGCUAAAACUCAAAGGAAUUGACGGGGGCCCGCACAAGCGGCGGAGCAUGCGGAUUAAUUCGAUGCAACGCGAAGAACCUUACCAAGGCUUGACAUGGGGCGAAAACCGGCAGAGAUGUCGGGUCCGC
This 762-nucleotide ribosomal RNA is filed under the name uncultured bacterium. RNAcentral's name for it is "bacterial SSU rRNA". It matches the Rfam family "Bacterial small subunit ribosomal RNA", at positions 242 to 1018 of the family's 1533-position model. The record is from RNAcentral.